This is a long non-coding RNA of Cryptotermes secundus, 2595 nucleotides long. RefSeq lists it as uncharacterized. Lineage: Eukaryota; Metazoa; Arthropoda; Insecta; Blattodea; Kalotermitidae. The transcript is spliced from 3 exons. The record is from RefSeq and is a predicted model, not a curated record.
UUAACAGUGUUCUCUCUUAUAGUUAAGGUAAUUAAUAUUUGUCAUUCUUUUGUUUUAUUUGAGCUUCAAUAUAUAUUUCUCUGAAGCAACUCAGUUUCUUGUCCUUCAUGCCAUAAAGAUAGCGUGGGAAGUUGCAUAUUAUGGAAGGCCUGUGUCACCCUGAAUAGAAGUCACCGGCAAUGUGACAAUUGAGACUGAAUGGGCAUGCAAAUUUAGUGGAAUCUGGUGAAGAGCGUUGGUGAAAAUUGAUCUACUCCUGGAUAUGUUACAGAGAGACGAGUGGUCGUAGUGACAGUGGAAAUGAUACUGCCACACCAUACCACCAUUUACGAGGUGAAAUCUUGGAGAAUUAGACAACCUCGAAGGAGUUUGCUGCUUGGGGUGCUUUGCGUGACCUUUUUAUGAACUCAGUAACCAUGAAACAGAUCUGACAAUGAAUAUGCAGUUGCUUCAGUGAUGUGUUGUGUUGUAGAGAUUUGAGGUAAAUUUAUCUAUUACUGGUCAUGUUACAUAGCAGAAGUGUGUCUUAUGUCAGUGGAAAUGGCACCGCUACACCAAACCACCAUUUGUGAGGUAAGCUGUACAGCAGCAGAGUACUUUAUAGGAGUUAUAUUAGUUGUUCUCUGCUUUUAGAUUUAAUUUUCAACUACUAAAUUUUGGGUUUAAGUUACAUGCGGUUGUUUUGCAGGUGGGUUCUUCCUCCAAGUCAUGCUUGCCUGUGCCUGAUCCUGCUUGUAGCUUCCUCUUCAAGCCUGCCUGAUUGCCUUCCUACUUUGCCGUCCAUGCAGCCAGCAUUGUUCUUACCUAGUAUGCAUGUGUCGUCCAUUAGCCAAAGGAAAUAAAAUGCUCACCAUUUCUUUAGCAUUAAAUUUUUCUCUUAGUAAUAUAAGGCCCUAUUCUCGAGGCUAAGAUACUGUGGGAAGUUGCUGAUUGUGGUAGGCCUGAAUAGAAGUCAGCGGCAAUGUGACUAUUGGGACUGAAUGAGCAGGCAAGUUUAGUGUAAUCUGGUGAAGAGUGUUGGUGAAAAUUGAUCUACUCCUGGGUAUGAUACAGAGACAUAUGUGGUCCUAGUGACAGUGGAAAUGAUACCGCCACACCAUACCACCAUUUACGAGGUAACAUGUACAUCAGCAUUUCCUUCUGCAGGACUCAUCUUAAUUGUUCUGCUCAUUUAGACAUAAUCUCCACGUGUUACAUGUUGAAUUUUCGUUAACAUAUCUUAGUUAUGUCAACGGUUCUUUCCUUCUAGUGACACUAGCCUGAUGAACCUCGCAUAUCUGCAUGUGCUUUCCUUAUUCUUGAUACCUGUCUGCAUGCCUAUUCUUUGGCACGUAUAAACCUGCUCAUUUAUUCUUCUUCCUUCUUGCGUGCCUGCCUUCCUUAGCCAACCUUCCAGUCGCCAUUGUUCUUACCUAGUAUGCAUAUGUCGUCCAUUGGCCAAAUGAAGUAAAAAUGCUCACUAUUUCGUUAGAAUGAAAUUUUUCACUUGGUAAUGUAAGAUAAGAAAAUGUAGCAUGAAAUUUUUCACUUAGUAAUUUGAGAUAAGAAAAUGUGAUCUAGUUGAUUUAAUUUGUAAUGGAAUUUGAUGACUGUUAAAUAGUAUUUGAUGUACAUAUUUGAUUAACAGUGUUCCCUCUUAUAGUUAAGGUAAUUAAUAUUUGUCGUUCUUAUAUUUUAGUUGAACUUCAAUAUUUCUGUGAAGCUAGUCAAUUUCUUGUCCUUCAGUCCAUAUUCUGGAGACUAAGAUAGCAUGGGAAUUUGCUUAUUUUGGUAGGCCUGUGUCACUCUGAAUAGAAGUCAGUGGCAAUGUGUCAUUUCAGUCUGAAUGAGCAGGCAAAUUGAAUGUAAUCUGGUGAAGAGUGUUGGUGAAAAUUGAUCUACUCCUGGAUAUGUUACAGAGACAUAAGAGGACCUAGUGACAGUGGAAAUGAUACUGCCUCAUCAUAGCACCAUUUACAAAGUAACAUGUACAUUAGCAUUCCAUUCUGCAGGAGUUAUCUUAAUUGUUCUGUUCAUUUAGACAUAAUUUUCACGUGUUACAUGUUGAAUUUUAAGUAAUAUACCUUAGUUAGUAAGUUUUUUCCUUCAAGUGACAAUAGCCUGAUGAAUCUCACAUAUAUGCACCUGCUUGCCUUCGUAUCAAUGCCUGUCUGCAUGCCUGUUCUUAGCAUUUAUAAACCUGCUUCUUUAUUCUUCUUCCCUCUUGUGUGCCUCAGCCAACCUUGCAGCUGGCAUUGCUCUUAACUAGAAUGCGUAUGGUUUCCAUUGGCAUGAGGAAGUAGAAAACACACACUAUUGACUUGACAUGAAUUUUUUCAGUUAGUAAGAGUACAUAAGAAAAUGUGAUCAAAUUGACUCAAGUUAUAAUUGAAAUUGAGACCCUGUUAAAAUUGUUUGAGAUAUAUAUUUAACUUUAAGAUAUCAUCAGAGCCGUUUGUUUCUCUCUGUUAGAACUUCUGAAUUGUUGACAGAUAUUUAUGAAACUUGGUGUGAAUAUCGUGACUAUGGAGACCAAUCCACUUAUGUGAAGUUUAAUUAUCUACUAUCAGUAAUAUCAACAUGACAAACGUAUGACUGCAUGUCCUGAUACUUGCA